UGUGGGGCUUCCUGUGCGUAUGCUCCCAUGUGCCUGGGGUCACUCUCCUACGACACCGUGGCUUUUGUCAGCAUCUGGACAACUGGGAC
Non-coding RNA from Mustela putorius furo (domestic ferret), 89 nucleotides. The record is from Rfam. Lineage: Eukaryota; Metazoa; Chordata; Mammalia; Carnivora; Mustelidae.